AUGAAUUUGUGGAACCGGUCGCGGAUGGCCAUGAGUAUUCCGUGAAGAUUUGUAAGGAUUGACUGCGAGGCAGAUUGACGUGAUCGAGAUGUGAUGUCACGCCCCGCGACCAACCGCCAAUUUGGACCGAGUCGCGACGCCGCCGACAGACCGCCGAACGGACCGGGAAUUCCCCUGUACGCGGACAGAGUCUCCCCAGUACGUCCAAGGCGUCGCAAUCCAAACAAUUAACGAAUGUUCCAACAAGGAACGGAUAUCAAUCCAGAUUGCAUAAGGAAGUAUCAAAUACAUAAUCUACUUGCUAUUACAAGCAUUCAUUUCACAACCACGUUUUACAUCACAGUUUCAGUUUACAUUUUUACUUCCAAAUUACAAUCUUAUUAUUACAUCAGAGUUUACAAGUUUGAUACAUGUUCUCUUCUUAUCUUCUAGACCCCUAAGCUAGACUAUCUCAGGGUACGGCUACCUCGGUCUCUGUGGUGGGGCGCUAUCUACUGAGCUACGCCCUCGCCUUGCGCCGCCGCGCCGCACACGAACGACCUGAAAAUCCCAAAAC
Molecule: long non-coding RNA, 556 nt
Filed under: Ananas comosus (pineapple)
Lineage: Eukaryota; Viridiplantae; Streptophyta; Magnoliopsida; Poales; Bromeliaceae
Description: long non-coding RNA (ACOM_LNC022273)
Source: RNAcentral